This 498-nucleotide ribosomal RNA is filed under the name uncultured bacterium. RNAcentral describes it as "partial 16S ribosomal RNA". It matches the Rfam family "Bacterial small subunit ribosomal RNA", at positions 28 to 507 of the family's 1533-position model. The record is from RNAcentral.
GACGAACGCUGGCGGCGUGCCUAAUACAUGCAGGUCGAACGAGAGCGACCGGUGCUUGCACUGGUCAAUCUAGUGGCGAACGGGUGAGUAACACGUGGGUAACCUGCCCAUCAGAGGGGGAUAACAUCCGGAAACGGAUGCUAAAACCGCAUAGGUCUUCGAGCCGCAUGGCUUGAAGAGGAAAAGAGGCGCAAGCUUCUGCUGAUGGAUGGACCCGCGGUGCAUUAGCUAGUUGGUGAGGUAACGGCUCACCAAGGCCGUGAUGCAUAGCCGACCUGAGAGGGUGAUCGGCCACAUUGGGACUGAGACACGGCCCAAACUCCUACGGGAGGCAGCAGUAGGGAAUCUUCCGCAAUGGACGCAAGUCUGACGGAGCAACGCCGCGUGAGUGAAGAAGGUUUUCGGAUCGUAAAACUCUGUUGUUAGAGAAGAACAAGUGCUAGAGUAACUGUUAGCGCCUUGACGGUAUCUAACCAGAAAGCCACGGCUAACUACGUG